Molecule: long non-coding RNA, 240 nt
Filed under: Mytilus galloprovincialis (Mediterranean mussel)
Lineage: Eukaryota; Metazoa; Mollusca; Bivalvia; Mytilida; Mytilidae
Source: RNAcentral
UUUUAGAAUAAUUACAGUAAGAUAAAAGCGUAUCUUUCUUUAAGUAUUACAAAACUCUCUUUGAUAAAUACAUAGUUUUAAUUAUGGACUACAGCUGUAUUGUAUCGAUAAUGCGUCAAAUAGUUAUGAAAGGUACCAUGUUAAAAACAUACAUUGACAAAUGGUACAAGUAAAACUAUAAUUGUGAAUACAAGUGUACUUUUUCGUCUUCUAAAUUCAAAAUGCUAGGAUGGCUUACUG